GCAGUCGAACGGGCUCGGAUUGAAACCUAGUGAUUUCCGAGUUAGUGGCGGACGGGUGAGUAACGCGUGGAUAACCUGCCGUAUGCAGGGGGAUAACAGUUGGAAACAGCUGCUAAUACCGCAUAAGCGCACAGUACCGCAUGGUACGGUGUGAAAAGAUUUAUCGGCAUACGAUGGAUCCGCGUCUGAUUAGCCAGUUGGCGGGGUAACGGCCCACCAAAGCGACGAUCGGUAGCCGGCCUGAGAGGGCGGACGGCCACAUUGGGACUGAGACACGGCCCAAACUCCUACGGGAGGCAGCAGUGGGGAAUAUUGCACAAUGGGGGAAACCCUGAUGCAGCGACGCCGCGUGAGUGAAGAAGUAUUUCGGUAUGUAAAGCUCUAUCAGCAGGGAAGAAAAUGACGGUACCUGACUAAGAAGCCCCGGCUAACUACGUGCCAGCAGCCGCGGUAAUUCGUAGGGGGCAAGCGUUAUCCGGAUUUACUGGGUGUAAAGGGAGCGUAGACGGCGCUGCAAGUCCGGAGUGAAAGCCCAUGGCUUAACCAUGGUACUGCUCUGGAAACUGUGGAGCUUGAGUGCGGGAGGGGCAGGCGGAAUUCCUAGUGUAGCGGUGAAAUGCGUAGAUAUUAGGAGGAACACCGGCGGCGAAGGCGGCCUGCUGGACCGUAACUGACGUUGAGGCUCGAAAGCGUGGGGAGCAAACAGGAUUAGAUACCCUGGUAGUCCACGCCGUAAACGAUGAUUACUAGGUGUCGCGGUACGAAGUACUGCGGUGCCGGCGCAAACGCAAUAAGUAAUCCACCUGGGGAGUACGUUCGCAAGAAUGAAACUCAA
This 835-nucleotide ribosomal RNA is filed under the name uncultured bacterium. RNAcentral describes it as "bacterial SSU rRNA". It matches the Rfam family "Bacterial small subunit ribosomal RNA", at positions 57 to 904 of the family's 1533-position model. The record is from RNAcentral.